Oncorhynchus keta (chum salmon) is the source of this 617-nucleotide long non-coding RNA. RefSeq lists it as uncharacterized. The record is from RefSeq and is a predicted model, not a curated record. NCBI's taxonomy places the organism in Eukaryota, Metazoa, Chordata, Actinopteri, Salmoniformes, Salmonidae. The transcript is spliced from 3 exons.
UCCGGAACUUGUCGUUCACUGGUGAAAGGAAUAAAACAAGAGUUUAGCAACUUCACAUGUCAACAAACAAUGAUGUCAGUGGUAAUGUAAGGCCAGUGGUAAUGUAAGGCCAGUGGUAAUGUAAGGCCAGUGGUAAUGUAAGGCCAGUGGUAAGGUAAGGCCAGUGGUAAGGUAAGGCCAGUGGUAAUGUAAGGCCAGUGGUAAUGUAAGGCCAGUGGUAAUGUAAGGCCAGUGGUAAUGUAAGGCCAGUGGUAAGGUAAGGCCAGUGGUAAGGUAAGGCCAGUGGUAAGGUAAGGCCAGUGGUAAGGUAAGGCCAGUGGUAAGGUAAGGCCAGUGGUAAGGUAAGGCCAGUGGUAAGGUAAGGCCAGUGGUAAGGUAAGGCCAGUGGUAAUGUAAGGCCAGUGGUAAGGUAAGGCCAGUGGUAAGGUAAGGCCAGUGGUAAGGUAAGGCCAGUGGUAAGGUAAGGCCAGUGGUAAGGUAAGGCCAGUGGUAAGGUAAGGCCAGUGGUAAGGUAAGGCCAGUGGUAAGGUAAGGCCAGUGGUAAGGUAAGGCCAGUGGUAAGGUAAGGCCAGUGAAGUCUUGUAUGUAAAUGAGGGUUGGUUUGCAUAGCCAUAGCC